This 256-nucleotide ribosomal RNA is filed under the name uncultured Rhodoferax sp. RNAcentral describes it as "partial 16S ribosomal RNA". It matches the Rfam family "Bacterial small subunit ribosomal RNA", at positions 1131 to 1382 of the family's 1533-position model. Lineage: Bacteria; Pseudomonadati; Pseudomonadota; Betaproteobacteria; Burkholderiales; Comamonadaceae. The record is from RNAcentral.
UUGGGCACUCUAAUGAGACUGCCCGGGUGGACAAAACCGGAGGAAGGUGGGGAUGACGUCAAGUCCUCAUGGCCCUUAUAGGUGGGGCUACACACGUCAUACAAUGGCUGGUACAAAGGGUUGCCAACCCGCGAGGGGGAGCCAAUCCCAUAAAGCCAGUCGUAGUCCGGAUCGUAGUCUGCAACUCGACUACGUGAAGUCGGAAUCGCUAGUAAUCGUGGAUCAGAAUGUCACGGUGAAUACGUUCCCGGGUCUU